ACGCGCACAAACGCAUUCAUAAAGCCGAAAUGCGUUUGGCGUACGUCGGAUCCGCUUCCGUGCCUGCUGGGGGAGCGGAUGCCAACACGCUAAGAAAUAUGACACUUUUAUCCUCCGUGUGUCGGCAUGUGUUGAUGCGAUGCCCUCCAAAGCAGCGCGUUGAUUCUCCUGCUGUGGAUUCUACAACAUUAGCUCAUCGCUGGGAUGCUUGGUGCCAGAGACAAAACCAUAAAAGACAGAUUGUGUUCUAUUCUGUAGCUUUAUUGCAGUGUCGUGAGGCCACUAUGAACAUCUAUUACUCAUCACAGCACGGCUAUACAUCUAAUAUAUCUGCCAUUGAAUUGUUUUAGCAGCAAGAGAGAUAACACCUGGACACAGCUGGACGCACCCAUCUGUCUCUGACUACCGGUUGAGAACAGUAAACAGUAAAAUUGUCGGCUAUAAAUAAGGGGCAGAACCCUAACCCAUAGUUACGGGGAGUUGAGGGAGUUACUUGAGGGGAGCUGUGUACUUAAGUGUCAGUGUAAUUCUCUCUGUGUCUGUAGCAUUAUUUUGUAUUUAAUUAUUAUUGGCCGAAUACUAAAUAAUAUAUGUUUUUUUAAAGAAUAAAUUGAACAGAAUUAAAAACAACCUAACAACAAGCAUCACUUUGAUCUCAUGAAACGCCGUAAACCUCGCCGGCCGCUUCACAACCUCAAGCUGCAGAGCUCUUGUUAGUCCUGCGCUGGCUGGAAGCCACAGUGCGCCUGCUUUCCUGUUUUGAUUGCAGUAGCUGAUUGCAGUGUCCUCUACGCUGUCACUGAUUAGAUGGCUGGAAUGAAAGGCAGCAGGGCUUUGAAUUUAGCGUGUUAUUAAAUUCUAAUGCCUCACUGCUUGCAUCCUUUAUAAUAAAACGGAAAUGUCAGUGUGUUUGUUAAAGGGACCCUUUUGUUUCUAUUCUUGUCAUUUCUGGUUCAUUCUGCUACAGUAAAUGCUGUAUGUUUAGAUUAUAUUUUAGCCAGCUGACUGGCCUUUUUAAUAAAAUGCAAACACGGUCUCUAGUCAGAGGCAUUUCCAUUAUAAUUAUCAUAAUUAUCCAUCUUAAAUGUUUCUGUGGCACACAUGGCAGACUUACAAAGGAGUGCAAAUUGGUUCGUUUUUUCUUCCAAACACUUAUUAAUCCCAACUCCAUGUAUUUGGCAGACACUUUCGUACUUAGUGGGAGUAAUCGGAGCCCUUCACAGUUCCUUCAUUCACAAUAACUUCAAUGGAACAAUUCUAACAGCAAUGGCUGUCAAUAGUUCCAGGUGUUUCUCAGCGUGUGCGCGCAGCGAGAUAUAGUUGCAGCUCAAUUCACCGCUCGUGAUGGACUUUUAAGCACAAAAAUCUAAUUAUUCAACGGAGACGAUCAACUCAUCCUGCAUCAUAAGUCAACUCUUUAGGACAUUUUCCUUUUUCCCAAUUAUUAUUAUUAUUAUUAUUUUUUUCAAUACGAUCAACCUGCCACAAUUUUCUCUUGGAGAACAUGGAUUUUUAGCAACCAGCGUCGGGAGCCUUGUUUUGACAUUUUCCUAACUGCGUGGGCAUAAGUGGGUUGCUGGUCCUAUUCCAGCUGACGUGAUCGGUCUUGCUCUCUGUUGAAUUGUUUUCUUUCACCUUUCCAGGGACUGCAGAUGCAAAUAAGCUCGUAGCUAAAAUUUGAUACAAAACCUCUUUAUUGUUGUUGAGAACAAUGCAUUUAUGUGCAUGGUCUGAUGUAAAUAAAUUGAUAAACUAAACCAUCAUUAAUAUACA
Gasterosteus aculeatus aculeatus (three-spined stickleback) is the source of this 1773-nucleotide long non-coding RNA. RefSeq lists it as uncharacterized. NCBI's taxonomy places the organism in Eukaryota, Metazoa, Chordata, Actinopteri, Perciformes, Gasterosteidae. The record is from RefSeq and is a predicted model, not a curated record.